This 5142-nucleotide long non-coding RNA is filed under the name Equus caballus (horse). RNAcentral describes it as "lncRNA (ENSECAG00000052038.1)". Lineage: Eukaryota; Metazoa; Chordata; Mammalia; Perissodactyla; Equidae. The record is from RNAcentral.
CCUCCCUCCCUUCAAACCUUUACUCAAAAACCACCUUCUCAGUGAGGCCUUCUCUGGUCACCCUGUCUGAAAUGUCAACACUCCCAGUGCGCUUCAUAUCCUCCUUUCGGCUUAUUUUUCUCCCUAGCACCUCCUCCUCUCUAAUACUCUCCAUCCUGCUUUCUCGUCUCGUUUCACCUCUCUUGCCCCCACUCGCAUGUCAGCCUCUGGCAGCAGCAGGGAGCUCAGGAUUUUUCUCUUUUUAUCCAGAGCUCUCAGAUCAGUGACUCAUAUGUAGGAUGAAGGAAUGAGUGAAUGAAUGAAUGAAAUGCAAUUUCAAUAUAGCAUGAUCUAUGGUGUAUAGGAAGAGAUCUGGGGGGCUGUGCAGCACAGGGAAGGCUCCCGACCCGGUCCUGGGCAGUCAGAGGCUUCCCUGAGAACUGUGGAGUGAUUCAGGACAGGCCGGGCAAGAGCAGGGGAAUGUCCCUCCAGGAAGAGGAAACUGGGCAGCGAACCCCCCCACUCCCCGCUGGCCAUGGAGACGCAGCGGGGCCUCUGGGAGGCGUGCACUUGGAAGCCACGUGCAGUUGAACGUGGCCCGGUGGCAAAGGGCGGGCUGGAGCUGGGCCGAGAAUCCUGCCAACCGUGAGAAGGUGGUUAGAAUCCCCCCCACCACCCCUGCCAAGCAGAGGAGCCGGGGAGCCCAUGGCAAAGCCCCAGAGUCGGAGCUGACUUCAGAAAGGCUGGAGCCGGAGAGCGGCCCGGAGGGGAGCCAGACUGAAGACGGGACUGCGUGGAAAGAUGGCCCAAUGAUGCCCCUGAAAGAGGACAAGGGGAGAAUUAGAGCAGGCCUGGCAGGCAUUUUUCCUUAACCAUUGUAUGGAGGAGCAGCCAGAGGGAGUAUGCAAAUGAAGGAGCCUAGCCACUUUCCCGCAGAGUUCUACUCACCAGCCGGCCCGGCCAGAUUCGGCCCAGCCCGUGGUUGACUGACCCCUGGACUGGGGGUAACGGAGAGGAAAGCAUGUGCUGAAAGAAGGGCUCAGAGGUAGGGCCCACAGAACCAGAGGUUGAUGGUGCUGGUGGGGGAGAGGCAGGCGGAGGGGACCUCGAGCCGGCGCUGGGGUGCCCACAGCCUGAGCCCAGGCUUACCCAGGAGGUCUCUGGGACCACCCACUGCAGUUUGGAGUACCCCAAGAAAGCCGAGAAAAGCUGUGCAGUGGUUCAGGGAAGAAGAGCCAAACUAGAAUGAGGCAGAGACAGGGUCUCCCGAGGACCCUUCUCCGGAGUGGUCCAGGGCCUGCCCUGAAGUAGGGAUGCCUCCCCUCCGUGCCUCAGAGUGACUGCAAGGCACCGUCUGGCCUUGUCCUGCUCAGGAUGGCCUCCCUUCACCUGCCACCCUGGGCCUCCUUCUCCCCGCUAGGCUACCUUCCCCUCAGCGAGGCCCUGUGCUCUCCCUUCCUCCUGAAUCCUCUCCAAGGCGGAUGAGCUGGGAGAAGGUGGCCCAGCAAGCCCCACCGAGAAUCAGAAAAUAGGGUACCUGAGGGGAGGGGAGCUGCCAAAGAACAGGGUGUCCCAGGAGGUGAGAGCAGUGUAAGAGGAAGAAACAGGGUAUGGAUCUUGGCUCUUCACAGAGAUGGAGAGAUGCCAAACUCUCUAACAGCUGUGUGUAAGACAACUGAGGUAAAAAUAAUAAUAUUAAAAAACAAAAUGUCAAGCGGCCAAGCCAAUGGGCUCCCUCUCUGACUUCUUCCACCAGCGGUGGGCUCCCUCAGCCCACGAGGCAGCCAACGCUCCCUUGGGCAGGCGGCCGGGCAGCAGGAAGAGGGGCUGCUCCUCAUGAGCACAUUCUCCAGAAGUGGCUCCUUUUCAACAAUUUUAAAGGUCACAUGCUGACAUGACAGUUGCUAAGACUCUGAUGAAAACGCUUGCAGGCAGCAUUGUGCAAGCGAGCUCUGGAGACCCUCCCACAACGGGCUCCACAGACACAGGACAGCCUUUCAUACGGGCUGCUCCCCACCAUGCCAGGCACAGCUGUCACUCCCACAGCCCUCAGGUCAGAGCCUGGACAGGAGACAGACAGCUUCAGGUGUGGGGAGGCACACGGAACGGACAGCGAAGCAUGGGACGUGGGUCCGGCGCCAGCCACCAGCAGCUGGAGGACUUCUCGGAGCAGGUACCAUGACAGCUAUGCAGCGGGCUCCUGACUUCUGACCCACAUCAGCCUCAGGGAUUGCAUGAACAGGGCCAGCCUCAGAUGACCUUUCCCUGCUGGCGAGGCGCUGGCCGAGCACAACGAGCUCCCCGCACAAACAUAACUCACAGGAGCUCAAGUAACGAGAAGAGAAUUGCACCAGGAUGAUGAACUCGGAUGGCUGCCACCACCUUCGCCUCCUCCAACCCAUGACAUACUUCCCAUUCAUGCAAGGGAAGCUUCCAGAAGGGGCCAUGUUCCCGGUGUGGACCAUAGCUGUGGGCCUCUGAGAAGCUGCAGCAGCAUCAGCUGGAUGUUGGGAUCUGUGCUGGCACCAUGUAGGGGCUGGGACAGCUUCAGAGUCACCAGGCCCAGCUAGAACUCCAGGUUGACCUGGGAGCAAACCAGCUCCUCAGUCACUCUCCCCCAAGUCCCCCUGUGGCCACGCAAGGCUGAGAUGCUGCAGACGAGGAGGGCAGGCCCCCCUUGCAGGCUCCUUCUGCAGGCGCCCUCCUGAUAAGUUUGCUGAACCGGGUAGGAGAGAAAAGGAGACUGUCUGGAGAUGGGAGGGGCCUGAUGCCAGGCCUGGACUUCUGCAGGAGCGGAUGCUUCACAGUCACUCACGUGCAGGUGCAGUUUGAGCCAAACACACCUUGAUAGCCCUGAGGCUUAAAAGCCCAACCUCAGCCCCACACCGGAUCCUAAACAAUCCUCAUCCCCAAAGCCAGACCACCUCUAUUUGAGUCAGCUGUGUGACCACAUGCACGUCAUUUAACCUCUCUGCCUCCAUUUCCGGAAUGGUAAGACAGGAUGAUCAACGCCCUAACCUUGACGUUUGCUGUAAGGAUGUAGGACAGUGACUGCCCCCGGGAGGACUGGGUCAGCACCAGUCGUGGAUAUAACGACUCUCCUGGCCCUAAACAAGCAAAGACCUCACAGACCCAAAUCCAGCACCUUCCUUCAACACAUUUUCACAUAAACAGUGGGAGAAAAACUCAAGACUUUUUCCUCUUUCUAUUUAGAACCAUAAAAGCCCAGUUAGGGUCUCAAACCUAGAAUUUAGCUUUCCAUAAUUUCUCUAACCCGAGGCUUCUAUUAGGCCUGGUAAAUGGAGGACGUGAUCCAUGGUCCCCAUUCCAGCCUGUCACUGCAAAGUGAUCCCCUACAUUCUCACACAUAUCCACACUCACACUCAGUUUCUCAUGCCCUCGCACAGUUUCUCACGCUGACACCUCACUCAAACACACACCCGAUUGAAGGGGGACGCUGCUGCUGAACUUCUGAGACACGGUGUGUAACGUCUGCUUCCUGAGUGAAGGUCAUAGGUCAUCUGUUAACCUAUGCCGAAAACUACAGUACGGUGUGGUUGAAAGCACUGACGCCACAACAGACCAGGCCACGCACCGCCCGGCAACCCUCUCAGCUUGCCAGCCUCUUGCUUCACUCCAAGGCUCCUACAAACCCUAAAAAAUUUCUAAUCUGCAUCAUCCACCCGUUAAUAUUGACUGAGCAGUCAAAUACAAGGUCGCACUGUGUGAGACCCAAAAGACCACGAGGCUGCCCUCGCCUUCAGUGGUAACAUAAAACUCAAUUAGAGGGCACAGCGUAACGAGGAAGGGCCUUCUGACACCUGCCACGCCAUGGGGGACCUUGGGCACAUUGUGCCGAGUCUAAUAAGGGGUCACGAAAGGACAAAUAGUGUUUGACUCCACUUACAUGAGGUACCCAGAGGAGUCAAGUGCAGAGACAGAAAGAAUGGGGCAUGCCAGGGGCUGGGGGAGGCAGAGGGGGAGUGAGUGUUCGAAGGGCACAGAGUUUCAGUUUGGGAAGAUGAAAAAGUUCUGGAGAUGGAUGGUGGUGAUGGUUGCAUAAAGAUGUGAGUGUCUUAGUGCCACUGAACCGUACACUUAAAAAUGGAUAAAAUGGUAAAUUUUUUUGUUAAGCAUAUUUUACAAUUUUAAAAAAUAAAAUAAAUUACGGAGAACAAAUUAUCCCACAAAAUUAAGAGGUGAGCAGUGCAGCAUGGACCAUGAAAUCCUCCGAGGUUGCAGAACUCAGGGAAGGCUUCGUGUGGCCGUCCACCGCCUCUUAACAAGCUGUGAAGUGCUGGCUAAAAUGGAGAAUCGAGGCCCGCAAGGUGUAAAGACUGUCUUAAACUCAACGAUGUCUAUAGGAAUCGAGGGCCAGGUCUCAUCUGCCAAGAAAGCUCAACCACCAAGGCAUAGCACGGGAUGGUUGGCAUGACCAUAGACUAUAUAUCCUGAGACCCAGUUCUUUUGAGAGUGGAGGGCACUAGUGAUAAUUAUGGCAGACAACGGUGUGUGGUCACCUGGGAUGUAGGGGAAAGAGGCCAGGUUUGGGAACCAGGCAGACCUGGGUUCAAGUCCUAGCUUAGGUUCUUACUUGGGCAAAUUGCUUUCUGUCUCUGAGCCUCAGUUUCUCCACCUGUAAAAUUUCUAUCUGAUGAGAUUAUUGUGAGUAUCAAAAGUAAGACAUGAAAAGCUCGCAGCCCAGGAUCUGACAGUCCCUAAGUACUACAAGCCUGUUAUCUCUUAGCUGCAAUUCUGAACCCUGAAAAGCUCUGAAAACUGCAAGCUUCCUAAACUUGUUUCGUGGCGAAACCUGCGGGGGACCAGUGCAACGCUAGUUAGAAUCCUUAUUCCACGUAGUGUAAUUUAUUCUUAUGUUUCUUUGCAGAAAUAUUAAUGUAUCGAUGACAGGGCGCUGCUCCAGUAACAGCCAGGAGGAUAUCAUCUUCCUCAAGGCCAAAUUUUCUGUGUUAGGUUGGAAAGAUGGGGACUCUCAUUAUAGUUUCAGCAUCCUAUACAGAUCUAAAUCUCUUGUCACCUAUAGAUACAGUUAUGGAAAUGUUAUAUAAAGUGAAAAAUGGCACGUUUAGUUAAUAAAAAGCCACAUGUUAAAUACUGUGUAUGCUGUGCUCUUAUUUGUUUUAAACAGAUGUAUGCGCACAU